CGAUGUUUCAUUCAAAUUUCCUGCCCUAUCAACUUUCGACGGUAGGGUAGUGGCCUACCGUGGUGGUAACGGGUAACGGAGGAUUAGGGUUCGAUUCCGGAGAGGGAGCCUGAGAAACGGCUACCACAUCCAAGGAAGGCAGCAGGCGCGCAAAUUACCCAAAUCCCAACUCGGGGAGGUAGUGACAAGAAAUAACGAUGCUCCGGCCAACGGUCGGGUAAUCGGAAUGAGAACAAUAUAAAUCCCUUAUCGAGGAUCAAUUGGAGGGCAAGUCUGGUGCCAGCAGCCGCGGUAAUUCCAGCUCCAAUAGCGUAUAUUUAAGUUGCUGCGGUUAAAAAGCUCGUAGUCGGAUUUCGGGUGGUACCUGCCGGUCCGCCCUUGGUGAGUACUGGCAGGCGCUACCUUUCUGCCGAGGACAGGCUCGUGGGCUUUACUGUCUGGGGUCUGGAGUCGGCGACGUCACUUUGAGUAAAUUAGGGUGUUUAAAGCAGGCAUAUGCUCUGAAUACACUAGCAUGGGAUGACACGAUAGGACUCCGGUCUAUCUUGUCGGUCUGUAGGCUGGAGUAAUGAUUAAGAGGGACAGUCGGGGGCAUUCGUAUUUCGUAGUCAGAGGUGAAAUUCUUGGAUUUACGGAAGACGAACUUCUGCGAAAGCAUUUGCCAAGGAUGUUUUCAUUGAUCAAGAACGAAAGUCGGGGGCUCGAAGACGAUUAGAUACCGUCGUAGUCUCGACCAUAAACAUG
Molecule: ribosomal RNA, 744 nt
Filed under: Trentepohliaceae sp. Kukwa 19538
Lineage: Eukaryota; Viridiplantae; Chlorophyta; Ulvophyceae; Trentepohliales; Trentepohliaceae
Description: SSU rRNA
Rfam family: Eukaryotic small subunit ribosomal RNA
Source: RNAcentral